AAAACUCUCUCUCUUUUUCUCUCUUUUCGGCUGGGAAUUUGGGGUGCUAAAGCUGGGUUUUUCCUUCAAUUCUCAAAGCUAAUUCAUCCUAAUUGUGAUCCCUUGUUGUGGAGCCAGUAAUCCGCCGUUCAGCUUCAGUUCCAGUCAGGUUGACCGGCACACCUGAAAUCGGAAUCCAGGUAAAGGCAAGGCAGUUGCUGAUGGACCGUGAGCGAGCUUAUGGGAUUGUACAUGUCGGGGCGGUUAGGCCUGGAGCGUACGAUCCUCGGGACAGCAGGGCUGAGAUUUUUGUAACGGUCGUUAGAUGACCUCAUUUUGAUGUAAAAGUUGAAUAGUGAAAACGUUUGUAAAUAUUUUUAUAAAUCGGGAUCCCGAGACUUUUUGGUAAAAUGGUUUAUAAGUUUAAUGAAAAAGCAAA
Long non-coding RNA from Cannabis sativa, 418 nucleotides. RefSeq lists it as uncharacterized. The transcript has 3 exons. Lineage: Eukaryota; Viridiplantae; Streptophyta; Magnoliopsida; Rosales; Cannabaceae. The record is from RefSeq and is a predicted model, not a curated record.